Molecule: ribosomal RNA, 233 nt
Filed under: uncultured bacterium
Lineage: Bacteria
Description: partial 16S ribosomal RNA
Rfam family: Bacterial small subunit ribosomal RNA
Source: RNAcentral
GAUCAUGGCUCAGGAUGAACGCUAGCUACAGGCUUAACACAUGCAAGUCGAGGGGAAAUGACAUCGAAAGCUUGCUUUUGAUGGGCGUCGACCGGCGCACGGGUGAGUAACGCGUAUCCAACCUGCCCAUCACUUGGGAAUAACCUUGCGAAAGUAAGACUAAUGCCCAAUGAUAUCCCACGAAGGCAUCCGAAUGGGAUUAAAAGAUUUAUCGGUGAUGGAUGGGGAUGCGU